UCUUGUGUGUGUGUGUUUUAGCUCACUGAAGAUGUAGUGAAUCGGAUGAAAGAAUCUCAAAGUAAAAGGGACAACCAGAAGUCACCCCACUUAUCCAGUGGUACAGCUCCAUUUUCAACAGCUGCAGAAGGGAAACCCAAAUCUCCUACAGGAAUCCAGCCACCAACAGCAAGUAACACUGGUCAGAAGGCUACAGUUGCAGAGCAGGAAUUAUACAGGAGGUAUGAGCAGGAGCAGGCCCUGGUUCAAGAGGAGCUGCUCCGGCUGGCCAAAAGAGAAAGGGAAGCAGCUGGUGAGAUGCUGGGUACUGCCCUUCAGCGGGAAAGGAACAGCACCAAUGAAGAGAGGAAGAGAGCAGCUCAGCUGCCUGAGGAUUUGGACGCCUGGGCUGUGGAGCUGCAAGGCAGGGAGGCAGAGCUGAAGCGACAAGAGGCCUUCUAUAAGGAGCAGUUGGCGCGCAUUGAGAGGAAGAAUGCAGAAAUCUACAAGCUGACGUCGGAGCAGUACCAGGAGGCAGCCACCAAGGCAGAGGAAUGGAUAAAGAGGAGGAACAUUGAUCCUGUCUGUGCAGGUCUGCAGUCUGAAAUUCUGAAGUGCUAUCAAGAAAACCAACGUGAAGUGCUCAAAUGCUCGGAGCUGGCUAAGGAGUAUCAGCGCUGUGUUAGUGCUGCUCAGAAGGCCCUCUUGCUGGAGCAGGUUGCUGUAGCGCAUGAUAGAGGUGUAAUUGCUGUUACCUCUUUUGUAUGUUUUCUGCUCGUCAGGGGACAGAAAUAGGCACUACAGGAGCAUGGUGCAUCACAUCCUAGAACAGUCCUCUAAAGGAGGAGCUUUUAGUUAACUCUGGAUAAACAUCAGCCACCAAAGAGCAGAGGACAGGGACCACAGAUGCUCCCUGGAAGGCCCAGCAUCCUUCUGGAUAGACGCUGACUAAAACUGGUGCCUUCUGCCCUUCGUGGUCCAAGACAAUGAUGAUUCCUCUUUUAAUGGCCUGCAUGUAUUGGUCUGUGUGGAUGCUUCUGGAACCAGACAGAGGGUGGUAGGAGAGGGGAACACUGUUACUUCAUUUUUGUAUUGUAAUAGAAUAGAAUGUAAAGAAUGGUCUUGACUCCAGCACGACUUGUUGCUUGGAGGCAUACUCCACACAGGCCUGGUUUACCCUGUGCUAGCUUUGGUUUCACCAACCCCUGUCUGAGUUUCAAGAGUUGUUAUUUUUGUCCAUUUGCUCCAGAAUUAAGGGACUAAAGUACUUAGAAAUAACCCUGACUAGCUUGUUGGGAUUAGCUGUUCCUAGCAUGCUCUGAUUGGCUACACCAGCAGGCAUGUUUCUUCCCUUCUGAGGUUCUCUCCUAAGUAAUAAAGUGUUUAAUGUUCA
Meleagris gallopavo (turkey) is the source of this 1372-nucleotide non-coding RNA. NCBI's taxonomy places the organism in Eukaryota, Metazoa, Chordata, Aves, Galliformes, Phasianidae. The record is from RefSeq and is a predicted model, not a curated record.